UACGAAGGUGGCUAGCGUUGCUCGGAAUCACUGGGCGUAAAGCGCACGUAGGCGGCUUUUUAAGUCAGGGGUGAAAUCCUGGAGCUCAACUCCAGAACUGCCUUUGAUACUGAGAAGCUUGAGUCCGGGAGAGGUGAGUGGAACUGCGAGUGUAGAGGUGAAAUUCGUAGAUAUUCGCAAGAACACCAGUGGCGAAGGCGGCUCACUGGCCCGGUACUGACGCUGAGGUGCGAAAGCGUGGGGAGCAAACAGG
RNAcentral lists this ribosomal RNA (253 nucleotides) under uncultured bacterium. RNAcentral's name for it is "partial 16S ribosomal RNA". It matches the Rfam family "Bacterial small subunit ribosomal RNA", at positions 524 to 776 of the family's 1533-position model. The record is from RNAcentral.